RNAcentral lists this ribosomal RNA (923 nucleotides) under Alteromonas sp. RNAcentral describes it as "bacterial SSU rRNA". It matches the Rfam family "Bacterial small subunit ribosomal RNA", at positions 56 to 977 of the family's 1533-position model. The record is from RNAcentral. Lineage: Bacteria; Pseudomonadati; Pseudomonadota; Gammaproteobacteria; Alteromonadales; Alteromonadaceae.
UGCAGUCGAACGGUAGCAGGAAGUGCUUGCACUUNGCUGACGAGUGGCGGACGGGUGAGUAAUGCUUGGGAACUUGCCUUUGCGAGGGGGAUAACAGUUGGAAACGACUGCUAAUACCGCAUAAUGUCUACGGACCAAACGGGGCUUAGGCUUCGGCGCAGAGAGAGGCCCAAGUGAGAUUAGCUAGUUGGUGGGGUAAAGGCUCACCAAGGCGACGAUCUCUAGCUGUUCUGAGAGGAAGAUCAGCCACACUGGGACUGAGACACGGCCCAGACUCCUACGGGAGGCAGCAGUGGGGAAUAUUGCACAAUGGGGGGAACCCUGAUGCAGCCAUGCCGCGUGUGUGAAGAAGGCCUUCGGGUUGUAAAGCACUUUCAGUUGUGAGGAAAAGUGAGUAGUUAAUACCUGCUCACCGUGACGUUAACAACAGAAGAAGCACCGGCUAACUCCGUGCCAGCAGCCGCGGUAAUACGGAGGGUGCGAGCGUUAAUCGGAAUUACUGGGCGUAAAGCGCACGCAGGCGGUUUGUUAAGCUAGAUGUGAAAGCCCCGAGCUCAACUUGGGAUGGUCAUUUAGAACUGGCAGACUAGAGUCUUGGAGAGGGGAGUGGAAUUCCAGGUGUAGCGGUGAAAUGCGUAGAUAUCUGGAGGAACAUCAGUGGCGAAGGCGACUCCCUGGCCAAAGACUGACGCUCAUGUGCGAAAGUGUGGGUAGCGAACAGGAUUAGAUACCCUGGUAGUCCACACCGUAAACGCUGUCUACUAGCUGUUUGUGGCUUUAAGCCGUGAGUAGCGAAGCUAACGCGAUAAGUAGACCGCCUGGGGAGUACGGCCGCAAGGUUAAAACUCAAAUGAAUUGACGGGGGCCCGCACAAGCGGUGGAGCAUGUGGUUUAAUUCGAUGCAACGCGAAGAACCUUACCUA